Molecule: ribosomal RNA, 805 nt
Filed under: uncultured Gammaproteobacteria bacterium
Lineage: Bacteria; Pseudomonadati; Pseudomonadota; Gammaproteobacteria
Description: bacterial SSU rRNA
Rfam family: Bacterial small subunit ribosomal RNA
Source: RNAcentral
AGUCGAGCGAGAAGGUUUUCGGACUGAGUACAGCGGCGGACGGGUGAGUAACGCGUAGGAAUCUACCCAGUAGUGGGGGACAACUUAGGGAAACUUAAGCUAAUACCGCAUACGCCCUAUGGGGGAAAGCGGGGGAUCUUCGGACCUCGCGCUAUUGGAAGAGCUUGCGUUAGAUUAGCUAGUUGGUGGGGUAAAGGCUCACCAAGGCGACGAUCUAUAGCUGGUCUGAGAGGAUGAUCAGCCACACUGGGACUGAGACACGGCCCAGACUCCUACGGGAGGCAGCAGUGGGGAAUAUUGCGCAAUGGGCGAAAGCCUGACGCAGCCAUGCCGCGUGUGUGAAGAAGGCCUUAGGGUUGUAAAGCACUUUCAAUUGGGAGGAAGGAUUUAGCGUUAAUAGCGUUAAAUUUUGACGUUACCUUUAGAAGAAGCACCGGCUAACUCCGUGCCAGCAGCCGCGGUAAUACGGAGGGUGCGAGCGUUAAUCGGAAUUACUGGGCGUAAAGCGCGCGUAGGCGGUUUGUUAAGUCGGAUGUGAAAUCCCCGGGCUCAACCUGGGAACUGCACCCGAUACUGACCGACUUGAGUGCGAGAGAGGGAGGUAGAAUUCCAUGUGUAGCGGUGAAAUGCGUAGAUUUAUGGAGGAAUACCGGUGGCGAAAGGGGGCCUCCUGGCUCGACACUGACCCUGAGGUGCGAAAGCGUGGGGUGCAAACAGGAAUAAAUACCCGGGGAGUCCCCCCCCGUAAACGAUGUCUACUAACCGUUGGGGAACUUGAUUCUUUUGUGGGGCAGCUAACGCAUUA